RNAcentral lists this ribosomal RNA (467 nucleotides) under uncultured bacterium. RNAcentral's name for it is "partial 16S ribosomal RNA". It matches the Rfam family "Bacterial small subunit ribosomal RNA", at positions 28 to 507 of the family's 1533-position model. The record is from RNAcentral.
GACGAACGCUGGCGGCGUGCUUAAUACAUGCAAGUCGAACGGAAAGGCCCUGCUUUUGUGGGGUGCUCGAGUGGCGAACGGGUGAGUAACACGUGAGUAACCUGCCCUUGACUUUGGGAUAACUUCAGGAAACUGGGGCUAAUACCGGAUAGGAGCUCCUGCUGCAUGGUGGGGGUUGGAAAGUUUCGGCGGUUGGGGAUGGACUCGCGGCUUAUCAGCUUGUUGGUGGGGUAGUGGCUUACCAAGGCUUUGACGGGUAGCCGGCCUGAGAGGGUGACCGGCCACAUUGGGACUGAGAUACGGCCCAGACUCCUACGGGAGGCAGCAGUGGGGAAUAUUGCACAAUGGGCGGAAGCCUGAUGCAGCAACGCCGCGUGCGGGAUGACGGCCUUCGGGUUGUAACCGCUUUCGCCUGUGACGAAGCGUGAGUGACGGUAAUGGGUAAAGAAGCACCGGCUAACUACGUG